GGGGAGCGGCGCGGGGUGCGAGGCCGGCAGGCCGCGGUGCUGUGGGGAGAGCCUCCCCGUCUGCUUCCACAGCGUGGUCGGUGACAAUGGAGGGGUCGGGGAGGUUUCCCCUCAGAGAGCCGCACUGAAGCCGUCACGGCGCAGAAGUACCUCCGCUCGAAGAGAGAGGUUCCCUCUCAUGAUCUCCCUCCAGGCUCUCAUAUUUAUGGAGAUUCCAGCGAGCACUCCACCCUACUCCUUCUCAGUGCAAGAUGUGACACGGAGCCUUACACGGCCGUCACGUGGGCGAUUGCCGCAUCUCAGCUGUGGAGCUCUCCCCGCUGCCCCUGCCUGGCUCACAGGCGUGUGCUUCACUGGACACGCGAACGACCGGUGCGGGACAGACGUGUGUUUAUGUAGGCAGAGUCCACAAAAUCUCUCGGUAGGGCAGCGUGUGGGAAUAGCAUAGGAGGAGCGAGGUGAUUCUCGGAAAGCAAGAGGAAGUUGUGAGCAUGCUUGUGUUCUCGACAAGUAGCUGGACAGGGCUGGGCUGGAGCUCUACUGGAGUGCAGUGUGUGCGGGUUCCCUGCCUGCCGUUGGCACGCUGCUCCGUUCCUUUCCCUCUGCACUGGCGGAGUUCUGCAGACCGAAAGUAUGACCGAGUGGCCAGGAUGGGGAUUUUCUUUCUGAAUCUUAAAAACAACGGUCCUGCAUUUCGACUAAAUGUCAGAAAGGCUCUGUAUUAAGCUCUGCAUUACACAAUUGAUUCCUUAACAAUAGGACUUUCAUUGACCUUUAAAAUUGUGCAAUGUAGAGGACUCUUACGUUCAUACAGUGAAGUUUUACCUAUAGCGCUGGCUCAUGGACCUCUUACUGGCCUAAGAUACACGCUGAGGUUUGUCACGGGGUGCAUUUUCAUCCCUGUUUUGUCCUUAGAUGCUGAUUUAACACUGGGGUUAUCCCCCCCCCAACUGUUCUGGUGCCUUCCAUCUACUCCAACAUUUAAAGAAUUUCACUCACUUGCACGUGGAACGUUGCUGGGAUGUUUGAGAAAGGAGCUGAACAAAGCAGUGUUCAGAACGGUAUGGGGCAGAGCAGGGCUCACCAGGCUUUGCUGGCCGGGACAGCGAAACUGAAGUGCUGCACCACUUUCAAGGAGGAGAAUUUGGGCCAAGGAUUCAGCGACGGACAUCUGAAGAACUCAGAAAAAAACAACAACCAAGGGAUGGGGAAAACAGAACAAAGGAAGAGACCGGCUCCCUUUCACAGCCACCUCCUUCUCUUACGGCUCCUCAGCAGACACGUGAGCGAGCUCCUGCGGGGUGGGUGCCACGCGCACUGAGAGCAGAGUGCUGCAGACCCGUGCUCCGAGCAGGCGGCAGACGGACAGGAGCAGCGCUGCCUGACUCCGGGCUGACCCAGGAACCCAAGAUUUUUGGCAUAGUGGUCUUGACCUCUCCUUUCUGUCCUGUCAGCUGUUAUUUCCCAGUGCCCUUGGAUAGGCUGAAUUUGCUCUUCCUCGCGGCCUUUAUAUAGUUCCCCCCUCCCCAUACUUCUGUUAGGCUUUUAGAUCUUUGGGCGAAUCUUGGAACUGCGGAUUAAAAUCCCACAUCUCAGCUUUUAUGAAAAGAUUUGCCGAGGUCUGGGUGUUGCUGGAAGCCUGAUAUUCUGCACCAUUUACUGGCUGUGAAUUAUGUAGAUACUCAUAUUUUUAAUUUCCUUUCAUUUAGUUGUGUGUGCAGGACCUCUGUCAUGACCAGCAGGGAACUCUCCUGGGUACAAAGAGGCUAUUCAGCUCCUGUGCCAACCCUGGCUCGUAAAAGCCUGACAGCUCUCAACAAACAAAGCCUAGAAAUGUUGCUAUUAAAAGCAUUUAUUGAAUAAAUCCAUAUGUGACAAAAUGAUAGCUGCAAAAAGCGGUGGAAUUGUUUUUUAAUGGAUAAAUCUUAUUUGAAAAGUAAAGCAGAGCUGCAGAAGCUCAGAGAACAGUCACCUGAGGAUAGAGCUUUGAGCAACGUGGGAAAAAUUAGAACCACUCUGAACAAUAUAGGAGAUAAUAGUUUGCAGAACAUGUCUGCUUUGAGUGGGAGCUUUUAUGUAAAGAAAAGAGAGGAUAAGCCUGGCUUUAACUUUUGUGUUUGAACGCUCUCACAAAUAGAGGUAGGAGAGCAAAUCUUCAUUCCCUUCAGCAAACCCACAGCAGCUGGAAACAGGAGGACCCCUGUUCUGCAUAGGGUCGGUGGGCUGCAAAGGGCACCGUGGGCAGACCCCUGUCUCCCAGCCAGCUGCGUGGUGGGCUGCAAGGCCUUAUGCCUGCCUUUGCACCUUGUCUGUGUGCAGAGACACCACUGCAGUGUGCCCUGCCUGAUGCACUCUCUUCUCCUCUCCCCUUGAGAGGGAAGGAAAAGGGCUGCCUGCCCAGGAAGGGGCUCUGUAGGGUUUUCCCUAUUCCCAUGGCACAGCACCAGCCCUUUGCUCUGUGCGCAGCCCUUGCGCAUGAGGGAGGCAGGGUGCUGAGCUCAGGUGGCUGCGAUCUCCUGAGAGGGUGGAGCAGAGGAGCAGCAAUUGUGUAAGGGCUAUUAUAGCAUCUGAGGAGCAGCUCUGCUAGAAAUCCAGAAUUGCCAUGGGAGAGGAUCCUAUUUCUAUGUCUCUCUGCUUAGACCUUCUUUGCUUUGGUCUUGCUUGGGUUCUCUAGACACCAAAGAAAAGGAAAAAGAAUGCCAUUCUUUGAAGAGAGGCAUCUGGACACUAUUUAGCCUCAAACAUAAACCAAGAGCGGCUAUCUCGAUUGUUUCAUAGGUUGCUGAAAAGAAUCUGUUGUGAUGGGCUCUUGGCAGGUGACAUGUGGGGGUGGAGAGCCCUUUGCUGGGACUGGCAGAGGCAGAUGCCGUGACCUCGAGGGCCAAGAAUGCCUCUCCAGGAGUGAGGGGUCUCCAGUGAGGGCAGACUGCUCCCUGACUGCCGCUGACGUACGUGAAUGCAGGAUGGAAAUGCUCACACUAAGGCAGGAAUUUCUUGGCACUUGUAAUGUCCACAUUAGGGAAAUAUUUUACAUCACUCCAGGGAUGGUCUAACUUGUCUGGUCUCUUCAAAGAGAUUGUUGGAGAAACUAUGAGAAGAGCAUCUCAGGAUUAUAGAAGUUUACUGGGGGAUCAGAUAGAAAUGAAAGGGGGGACAGAAAAAAUGUUAUGGGACAAUUAAAACAAAUAACAUUGGAAAACAUAACAAUGGAACUGAUCCUUCAGAAAUCCUGGAUGAACAUCACAAGAAAA
Gallus gallus (chicken) is the source of this 3251-nucleotide long non-coding RNA. NCBI's taxonomy places the organism in Eukaryota, Metazoa, Chordata, Aves, Galliformes, Phasianidae. The record is from Ensembl.